CACUUCUCGGCCUUUUGACUAAGAUUGAGUGUAGUGUCUGUUCUUAUCAGU
RNAcentral lists this small nuclear RNA (51 nucleotides) under Cervus elaphus hippelaphus. Lineage: Eukaryota; Metazoa; Chordata; Mammalia; Artiodactyla; Cervidae. The record is from RNAcentral.